CAACCCUCGAACCCCUCCGGGGGGUCGGCGUUGGGGAUCGGCCCUGCCUUGGCGGUGGCCGUCUCCGAAAUACGAGUGGCGGUCUCGCCGCAGCCUCUCCUGCGCAGUAGUUUGCACACUCGCAUCGGGAGCGCGGCGCGUCCACAGCCGUUAAACACCCAACUUCUGUAAAUG
RNAcentral lists this unclassified non-coding RNA (174 nucleotides) under uncultured Trichoderma. Its description in RNAcentral is "sequence contains ITS2". Lineage: Eukaryota; Fungi; Ascomycota; Sordariomycetes; Hypocreales; Hypocreaceae. The record is from RNAcentral.